AUGUCUUUUUUUUUGUUCUCUUCAAAAUCAGUGGAAAAGAGAAGAGAUCAGGAUGUGCUUUCUUUGGAGAACAAAGAAAAUGCUACUCUCCAUUUUGGAUGGAAAGUAGAAAUUUUUCCUAGGUAUACUUUAGGCCAACUAUCAUCUAUCUCACAUGAAAUUAACAAAACCGGAAUAAUCAAACCAAAAAAAAGAGUUAAAUCCGAGCACAUGAAGCUGCAUAUGAAGAUGAAAACCAAACAAAAUGUGACAAAAAACAUACAAUUAAACUUACACGAACCUGAAAAACUCUUGGAGAACACAUCAACUAAGAUAAACAACCAAUCAAUUAGCCAAAUAAUCAACACAAGGCUCUUCAAUGUGCUUUUCUUCAUGUAA
RNAcentral lists this ribosomal RNA (378 nucleotides) under Triticum aestivum (bread wheat). RNAcentral describes it as "partial small subunit ribosomal RNA". Lineage: Eukaryota; Viridiplantae; Streptophyta; Magnoliopsida; Poales; Poaceae. The record is from RNAcentral.